AAAGAGAAGAAGGUUCCUGCUUUGCCAAAAACCCUCAAGAAAAAGCAAAGAAGUUUUGCAGAGCUGAAGAUCAAGCACCUGAGAAAGAAGUUUGCCCAAAAGGUGCUUGUAAAGGCAAGGAGAAAGCUUAUCUGUGAAAAACUGAAGCACUUUCACAAGAAAUAUACACAGAUGGACAGAAUGGAGAUUCGAAUGGCCAGAAUGGCAAGAAAAGCUGGCAACCUCUAUAUACCUGCAGAAUCCAAACUGGCAUUUGUCAUCAGGAUCAGAAGUUCCAAUGGUGUGCACACAAAGGUGUUCUGAAAGGUAUUAUUGCAGCUUCUUCACCUUUGUCGGAUCUUCAGUGGAACCUUUGUGAAGCUCAACAAGCCUUCAGUUAACAUACUGAGGCUUGUAGAGCCACAUAUUGCAUCAGGGUACCCAAACCUGAAGUCAGUAAAUGAGCUAAUCUACAACAGUGGUUAUGGCAAAGUCAAUAAAUUAAUCGCCUUGACAGAUAACACUUUGCUCAAUCUCUUGGCAAAUAUGGCAUCAUCUGCUUGGAGGAUCUGAUUCAUGAGAUCUAUACUGUUGGAAAACACUUCAAAGAAGCAAAUAACUUCCUGUGGCCCUCCAAAUUAUCCUCUCCAUGAGGAGGAAUGAAGAAAAGACCACUCAUUUUGUAGAAGGUGGAGAUGCUGGCAACAGAGAAGACCAGAUCAACAGGCCUAUUAUGGGAAUGAACUAAG
This 728-nucleotide long non-coding RNA is filed under the name Homo sapiens (human). RNAcentral describes it as "non-protein coding lnc-ZNF292-1:1". The record is from RNAcentral. Lineage: Eukaryota; Metazoa; Chordata; Mammalia; Primates; Hominidae.